Molecule: ribosomal RNA, 497 nt
Filed under: uncultured bacterium
Lineage: Bacteria
Description: partial 16S ribosomal RNA
Rfam family: Bacterial small subunit ribosomal RNA
Source: RNAcentral
GAUGAACGCUGGCGGCGUGCCUAAUACAUGCAAGUCGAGCGAACAGACCAGUACCUUGCUCCGCUGACGUUAGCACCGGACGGGUGAUUAACACGUGGAUAACCUACCUAUAAGACUGGGAUAACUUCGGGAAACCGGAGCUAAUACGGGAUGAUAUAUUGAACAACAUUGUUCCAUCGUUAAAUUCGGUUUUUCUGUCGCUUAUAGAUGGCUCCGCGCCGAAUUAGCUAGUUGGUAAGGUAACUGCUUACCAAGGCAGCGACUGUUAGACGACCUGAGAGGGUGAUAGGACACACUGGAAGUGAGACACGGCCCACACUCUUAGGGUAGGCAGCAGUAGGGACUCCUACGCAAUGGGCGAAAGGUUGACGGAGCAAAGUCGCGGGAGUGCUGAAGUACUUAGGCUCGGAAAACUAUGAUAGUAGGGAAGAACAAAUGUGUAAUUAACUAUGAAGGUCUUGACGGUACCUAAACAGAAAGCCACGGCUAACUACGUG